RNAcentral lists this ribosomal RNA (252 nucleotides) under uncultured bacterium. Its description in RNAcentral is "partial 16S ribosomal RNA". It matches the Rfam family "Bacterial small subunit ribosomal RNA", at positions 111 to 354 of the family's 1533-position model. The record is from RNAcentral.
UAACACGUAGGGGAACCUGCCCAUGCGGCCGGGACCAACUUCCGGAAACGGAUGCUGAUACCGGAUAAGGAAAGCGAAGGCAUCUUUGCUUUGUUAAAGGAGCUGCAAGGCUCCGCGCAUGGAUGGACCUGCGGUGCAUUAGCUGGUUGGUGAGGUAAAGGCUCACCAAGGCGACGAUGCAUAGCCGGCCUGAGAGGGCGAACGGCCACACUGGGACUGAGACACGGCCCAGACUCCUACGGGAGGCAGCAG